This 433-nucleotide ribosomal RNA is filed under the name uncultured bacterium. RNAcentral's name for it is "partial 16S ribosomal RNA". It matches the Rfam family "Bacterial small subunit ribosomal RNA", at positions 29 to 507 of the family's 1533-position model. The record is from RNAcentral.
AACGAACGCUGGCGGCAUGCCUAACACAUGCAAGUCGAACGAGACCUUCGGGUCUAGUGGCGCACGGGUGCGUAACGCGUGGGAACCUGCCCUUAGGUUCGGAAUAACUCCCCGAAAGGGGUGCUAAUACCGGAUAAUGUCUUCGGACCAAAGAUUUAUCGCCUUUGGAUGGGCCCGUGUUGGAUUAGCUAGUUGGUAGGGUAAAAGCCUACCAAGGCGACGAUCCAUAGCUGGUCUGAGAGGAUGAUCAGCCACACUGGGACUGAGACACGGCCCAGACUCCUACGGGACGCAGCAGUGGGGAAUAUUGGACAAUGGGCGAAAGCCUGAUCCAGCAAUGCCGCGUGAGUGAUGAAGGCCUUAGGGUUGUAAAGCUCUUUUACACGGGAUGAUAAUGACAGUACCGGGAGAAUAAGCUCCGGCUAACUCCGUG